Molecule: ribosomal RNA, 469 nt
Filed under: uncultured bacterium
Lineage: Bacteria
Description: partial 16S ribosomal RNA
Rfam family: Bacterial small subunit ribosomal RNA
Source: RNAcentral
GACGAACGCUGGCGGCGUGCUUAACACAUGCAAGUCGAACGGAAAGGCCCUGCUUGCAGGGUGCUCGAGUGGCGAACGGGUGAGUAACACGUGGGUGAUCUGCCCCUUACUUUGGGAUAAGCCUGGGAAACUGGGUCUAAUACUGGAUAGGACCAUGCUGUAGGUGGUGUGGUGGAAAGAUUAGUUUCGGUAAGGGAUGAGCUCGCGGCCUAUCAGCUUGUUGGUGGGGUAAUGGCCUACCAAGGCGUCGACGGGUAGCCGGCCUGAGAGGGUGGACGGCCAGAUUGGGACUGAGAUACGGCCCAGACUCCUACGGGAGGCAGCAGUGGGGAAUAUUGCACAAUGGGCGCGAGCCUGAUGCAGCGACGCCGCGUGGGGGAUGACGGCCUUCGGGUUGUAAACUCCUUUCAGCCAUGACGAAGCCCUUGUGGUGACGGUAGUGGUAGAAGAAGCACCGGCUAACUACGUG